AGAGGGCACUUGAGAGUUUGCCCUGAGCUGCGCACUGUAGAUGUCUGCACCAUCUCCUCAGGUGCAGUGUGCCAGAGCUGUCACAGGAGUUCCCAGAUCGCGUGUGGAUGGAUUGGUCUCUAGAGGAUUUUAAUAGAAUUUGAUUGGAGUCCCUGGCGUGGGACUUCGGCGCACAUCACGGUGCCUCACACACCCCAGAACAGACCCACAGGACGCCGGAGCUGCUCUGGCAGCGGAGGAGAACAAGCCCGGGUGAUUGUGCAAACCACAUGCUGGCUGGCACCAUGCACUGUGUAGGGAGGCAGAGAGCACCAACACAGACUUCCUCGCAGAUGAUGAGUCCAGGGAGGCUGGACUGGUUAUGUUCCUGUGAUGAGCACGGACGAGUUGAAAUGAAGGGCCUGACCACUGCACAUGCUGGGCUUGUAGUUGAUUCAGCAGAAUGAGCAAGCAGUUAUUACUGUGCAGCUAGAUGCGCCAUACUCCGACAACCUACCCUGAGUGCAUGUGAGUUUUUUAAAAUGCCCAUUUUGCCUCUCUUAAACAGAUACUGAACAGGAGUUGCACCAACCUGAUUUUCCUUGUUGGCUGUGUAAACUUAUAAAUUUGCUGUCAAUAAUGCCACAACCACAUCAUUGAUUGUAGUCUUUAUCUGGACACAUUGUGCCAGGAGGUGUUAAACUCCUGAUCAGAUACAGGUGCCCGUGCUCCAGACCUCAGCUGGAACCUUACAGCCUGGUGCAGUUCAUCAAAUGCUGGUGAGACACCAGCCUUACAGUGUUAAUUCUUUUAAAUUAAAAAAAAUCUAAAUCCACGUUUACAAAAUAUACAGCUACUUUCCAAAGCAAUUUCACUUUCUUGAUAAAGUGUCUCUGUGUGUAUAUAUAUGUUCUGCUUGUGUACUGUCUAUACAGUCGGUUGAAAAAUAGGAGCUACUGUUCCUUGUGCUUUGUUUGUAUUGUGGUUGUGGUCAAGCUGGGGUUGAACUUAGUUCCUUCACUAACUCCGCUGCUAACAUACGAAUUGCUCUGCCAAGUUUAAAAUUAGUAACAAAUUUAAUAUGUUCUGCACUGGCAUCCAAUGCCACAAAGAGUGAAGAAAUGCAGCACUAGUUUGUCAUGGGGUCUUUCUGGAAAACCGCAACGAGGCAGAAUUUAGGAUCCAAAUUGAGAGGCAGGAAUAAGAGGAGAGUGAAAUGUAUAGCAGAUGCAGGCUGGCUCCAAGGAGGGGAGUGUGCAGGGACCACCAGUGAGGCAGAAUGUUUCAGACAAUGCAUUCUUUACUGGGAGAACUGAACACAUCCUUCUUUCGUUUCUUUAUGUUUGCUUUUAAAUACCCACAACUCCAGACAAAACUAUUAGCAUGACCUAAACGACAGAACCAUGCUCUUGUUAAUGGCAUAAUAGUUGGAAAUAUGAUUUAUGGCUUUCAUUUUAAGAAUGGCUAUUCUCAUAACUCCUAAUACAGGAAAAUGUGUGUUUGCAAUAACUUACCCUCCCAUGAUGCCUUCUAGUCUGUUAAACCAUGGAAAAGAACAUAUUGGUGUCAUAAAUCUACAUUGCAAAAACAGACAGCAUGAAACAAGUCACUGGAUUAGAAUUAGACAAAUUCCAAAACAUUCAAAUGAACGAGAAGGAUUA
Long non-coding RNA from Lepisosteus oculatus (spotted gar), 1640 nucleotides. RefSeq lists it as uncharacterized. Lineage: Eukaryota; Metazoa; Chordata; Actinopteri; Semionotiformes; Lepisosteidae. The record is from RefSeq and is a predicted model, not a curated record.